Molecule: ribosomal RNA, 497 nt
Filed under: uncultured bacterium
Lineage: Bacteria
Description: partial 16S ribosomal RNA
Rfam family: Bacterial small subunit ribosomal RNA
Source: RNAcentral
GAUGAACGCUGGCGGCGUGCCUAAUACAUGCAAGUCGAGCGAACAGACGAGGAGCUUGCUCCUCUGACGUUAGCGGCGGACGGGUGAGUAACACGUGGAUAACCUACCUAUAAGACUGGGAUAACUUCGGGAAACCGGAGCUGAUACCGGAUAAUAUAUUGAACCGCAUGGUUCAAUAGUGAAAGACGGUUUUGCUGUCACUUAUAGAUGGAUCCGCGCCGCAUUAGCUAGUUGGUAAGGUAACGGCUUACCAAGGCAACGAUGCGUAGCCGACCUGAGAGGGUGAUCGGCCACACUGGAACUGAGACACGGUCCAGACUCCUACGGGAGGCAGCAGUAGGGAAUCUUCCGCAAUGGGCGAAAGCUUGACGGAGCAACGCCGCGUGAGUGAUGAAGGUCUUCGGAUCAUAAAACUCUGUUAUUAGGGAAGAACAAAUGUGUAAGUAACUAUGCACGUCUUGACGGUACCUAAUCAGAAAGCCACGGCUAACUACGUG